UCUUGAAGCAUUGGUUGGAGUUUACCUUCUAUCUAUGGCUCUGUGAACUUCCUGGAUAAAUGUUGGAACCAUGGCUCUACACUGACAUAUUUUUCAUAUGGACAACAAUGAGGGUGAGACCAUAUUUCUGAGAUUCAAUCAAGUCUCUCAGUUCUAAUUGCUGAAGAAGAGAUGGAGCCUCAGCCUGGGAAUACCAAGGUGGCAGAGGUAUUUAAGCUUGUGCACGGUGACAAGUUGGCCACGAUCACAUGGACUGGGGGCUCAAUGAGAUGUCCUUAGUGGAAUGGGGUGCUGACUUCAGCAAGAGAUCAAGAAAAGAGACAAAGAAGGAAAGCCACAGUUACCCUGGAAAGUUCCGGUGUGUCCUUUUAUUGGAUUUAAAAAAUAAUGAAAGAAAGAUCUGUAUGAUGAAAAUUACAAACUGCUGAUCAAAGAAAUCAAAGAAGACCUAAACAGACUGAGAAACAUCUGUGUUCAUGGGUUGGAAGGUUCUGCAUUGUAAAGAUGUCAAUUUCUACCCAAAUUGAUAAUAGUUUCAAUGGAAUGCCAAUCAAAAUCUCCACAAGGUUUUUGCAGACCCAGAAAAGCUGAUCUGUAAAUUCCUAUGGAAAGGGAGACUCAAGAAUAAAAUAUCUUGACAAAGAAGAA
Molecule: long non-coding RNA, 648 nt
Organism: Prionailurus viverrinus (fishing cat)
Lineage: Eukaryota; Metazoa; Chordata; Mammalia; Carnivora; Felidae
Exons: 2
Source: RefSeq, a predicted model, not a curated record